AUCGACUUGCUUCUUGUAGACGCCUUAUAUACUGCAGGUGUAUGGCGGGUCUGUGCACGUGCCGGAUAUGCUUCCGCUGGUAUCCGGGCGUGACAGUAAAGCAUACAUAUAAACUGAAAAGUAGAAUGAUUCUUGAAAUUUAGAAUGAACUUAUAUAUUAGAAUAGGACUGUUGUUCGCAGUUACGUUAGAAAGAAAGAUGAAGGAAACAAACCUGAGAAAUGGAUUCUGGUGGAGUUGUUCCAAACAGAU
This 251-nucleotide long non-coding RNA is filed under the name Ananas comosus (pineapple). Its description in RNAcentral is "long non-coding RNA (ACOM_LNC016720)". Lineage: Eukaryota; Viridiplantae; Streptophyta; Magnoliopsida; Poales; Bromeliaceae. The record is from RNAcentral.